ACAUAUGCAUGGAAUAGAUAAAAAAAAUCUUAGGUGAGAUUCAAAUGCCAGCAAAGUGUUAGUAGGAAUUAUGUUCCUUUUUUUCUUCUUCUUUUUUUUCUGUCCUUAUUUUUUUUUUGUG
Molecule: non-coding RNA, 121 nt
Filed under: uncultured eukaryote
Lineage: Eukaryota
Source: RNAcentral